Molecule: ribosomal RNA, 497 nt
Filed under: uncultured bacterium
Lineage: Bacteria
Description: partial 16S ribosomal RNA
Rfam family: Bacterial small subunit ribosomal RNA
Source: RNAcentral
GAUGAACGCUGGCGGCGUGCCUAAUACAUGCCAGUCGAGCGAACGGACGAGAAGCUUGCUUCUCUGAUGUUAGCGGCGGACGGGUGAGUAACACGUGGAUAACCUACCUAUAAGACUGGGAUAACUUCGGGAAACCGGAGCUAAUACCGGAUAAUAUUUUGAACCGCAUGGUUCAAAAGUGAAAGACGGUCUUGCUGUCACUUAUAGAUGGAUCCGCGCUGCAUUAGCUAGUUGGUAAGGUAACGGCUUACCAAGGCAACGAUGCAUAGCCGACCUGAGAGGGUGAUCGGCCACACUGGAACUGAGACACGGUACAGACUCCUACGGGAGGCAGCAGUAGGGAAUCUUCCGCAAUGGGCGAAAGCCUGACGGAGCAACGCCGCGUGAGUGAUGAAGGUCUUCGGAUCGUAAAACUCUGUUAUUAGGGAAGAACAUAUGUGUAAGUAACUGUGCACAUCUUGACGGUACCUAAUCAGAAAGCCACGGCUAACUACGUG